GAUGAAGAACGUAGCGAAAUGCGAUACUUGGUGUGAAUUGCAGAAUCCCGUGAACCAUCGAGUCUUUGAACGCAAGUUGCGCCCGAAGCCAUCAGGUUGAGGGCACGUCUGCCUGGGCGUCACAUAUCGUUGCUCGAUGCCUAUCGCAUUGCGAUAGGACUUAGGGCGAAUGAUGGCUUCCCGUGAGCGUUGUUGCCUCGCGGUUGGUUGAAAAUCGAGUGCAUGGUGUCGGGUGUACCAUGAUGGAUGGUGGUUGAGUGAUGAUGCUCGAGACCAAUCAUGGGUAACUCCACCAGAAUUGGGCUCGGCGACCCACAUGCGUCCCUUGGAUGCUCCCUAAGGAGACCUCAGGUCAGGCGGGGCUACCCGCUGAGUUUAAGCAUAUCAAUAAGCGGAGGA
RNAcentral lists this unclassified non-coding RNA (399 nucleotides) under soil metagenome. Its description in RNAcentral is "partial contains 5.8S ribosomal RNA, internal transcribed spacer 2, and large subunit ribosomal RNA". The stretch from base 1 to 122 matches the Rfam family "5.8S ribosomal RNA", at positions 35 to 154 of the family's 154-position model. The record is from RNAcentral.